Molecule: long non-coding RNA, 858 nt
Organism: Astatotilapia calliptera (eastern happy)
Lineage: Eukaryota; Metazoa; Chordata; Actinopteri; Cichliformes; Cichlidae
Source: Ensembl
UUGCAUUUUUUGUGUGUGGCCUUCUCUUGAAGGAAAGUAGUAGGUGGAGAAAGAAAAAACAACAUAAUUGAGAUCCUAGCUCAUUGAAAAUCAAAUGUAUUUGUAGUAGAAAAGACGUGCUUUUGGGGGUUUUUUUGUUUUUUUUUACAACUGUGACCCGCAUGAAAAUGGGAUCACAGUCAAAUACUGAAUGAGGACACUCAGCUGCUGCUCGGCACUGCCUGUCAACUAUGCUGAAAUGCUAUUACAGAUGUAAUUGCACUGUGUUUCUGAUAGCGGUGACAUUUACACAUAAUCAUCACUGUCCUUUAAUGCUCCUCGUAUCUCUCAGUUGUAGCAGCAUGACACUGUUAACACUAAAACUCAUGAUAUCCCAGGGCCAUCUCCUAUCCUAUGAACUAAAUGCUCAUCUAUCUUUUUUGUGUUUUUCAGCAUCACGUGGAAGGGUUCGCUGCCAUGUGAAUCUGGAAGGGUUCUGAGAAGGACAAAGAUGGUGUGUAGGACUUGAGGCUAUCAUUUGCUGAAGGGGCCUUCCAUUUUUCCUCAGCCUUCUUCCUCUACAUUCUUCUUAUCCUCUGUUUUAGAACACAAGUGAUCACCAUUACUUAAUAAAUGACUCAUGAUUCACACAUGAAUUAUGUAUGUAUUCUUGUCCUAGCAUUACAGCAUACAGAUUAGUCCUAUAAAAUCGAAAGAGCUGUAAACUUUGGUAAUCAGAAUCAGAAAGGGUUUUACUGCCAAAUGUUGAGCAGGUUUACAACAUUAGGAAAUUGCUGCGGUGCUUCAGUGCAAACAUACUGUCAUAAAUUACGCUAAAAUAGACAUUAAAAUAAAAAUAAGAAUAAGAAUUAAAAGUGC